RNAcentral lists this ribosomal RNA (253 nucleotides) under uncultured bacterium. RNAcentral's name for it is "partial 16S ribosomal RNA". It matches the Rfam family "Bacterial small subunit ribosomal RNA", at positions 524 to 776 of the family's 1533-position model. The record is from RNAcentral.
UACGAAGGGGGCUAGCGUUGCUCGGAAUUACUGGGCGUAAAGGGCGCGUAGGCGGACAGUUUAGUCAGAGGUGAAAGCCCAGGGCUCAACCUUGGAAUUGCCUUUGAUACUGGCUGUCUUGAGUUCGGGAGAGGUGAGUGGAAUGCCGAGUGUAGAGGUGAAAUUCGUAGAUAUUGGGAAGAACACCAGUGGCGAAGGCGGCUCACUGGCCCGUAACUGACGCUGAGGUGCGAAAGCGUGGGGAGCAAACAGG